Long non-coding RNA from Drosophila innubila, 775 nucleotides. RefSeq lists it as uncharacterized. The record is from RefSeq and is a predicted model, not a curated record. NCBI's taxonomy places the organism in Eukaryota, Metazoa, Arthropoda, Insecta, Diptera, Drosophilidae. The transcript is spliced from 2 exons.
AGCAUUUAUAGAAUGUGUUUAGGACAAAUAUGAGUGUAUAAUGGCGUAUAUAGUUGAAUAAGAUGGAUUUGGGAAGUAAAUAGAGGUAAUAGAAGCAUUUAUAGAAUGUUUUUAGGGCAAAUAUGAGUGUAUAAUGGUGUAUAUAGUUGAAUAAGAUGGAUUUGGGAAGUAAAUAGAGGUAAUAGAAGCAUUAAUAGUGGUUAAUAGGGCAAAUCUGAGCGUAUUAUGCCGUAUAUAGUUGAAUAAGAUGGAUUUGGGAAGUAAAUAGAGGUAAUAGAACCAUUAAUAGAGGUUUAUAUGGCAAAUAUGGGUGUGUAAUGCCGAAUAUAUUUGAAAAAGAUGGAUUUGAGGAGUAAAUAGAGGUAAUAGAAGUAUUAAUAGAAUAUGUUUAGGGCAAAUAUGAGUGUAUAAUUGCGUAUAUAGUUGAAUAAAAUGGAUUUGGGAAGUAAAUAGAGGUAAUAGAAGCAUUAAUAGUGGUUUAAAGGGCAAAUAUGAGCGUAUAAUGCCGUAUAUAGUUGAAUAAGAUUAAUUUGGGGUGUAAAUAGAGGAAAAAGAACCAUUAAUAGUGGUUUAUAGGGCAAAUAUGGGUGUAUAAUGCCGUAUAUAGUUGAAAAAGCUGGAUUUGAGGAGUAAAUAGAGGUAAUAGAAGCAUUUAUAGAAUGUGUUUAGGACAAAUAUGAGUGUAUAAUGGUGUAUAUAGUUGAAUAAGAUGGAUUUGGGAAGUAAAUAGAGGUAAUAGAAGCAUUAAUAGAGGUUUAUAGGGCAAAUAUGGGUG